RNAcentral lists this transfer RNA (86 nucleotides) under Candidatus Kuenenbacteria bacterium RIFCSPHIGHO2_02_FULL_39_13. RNAcentral's name for it is "tRNA-Leu". It matches the Rfam family "tRNA". From Rfam's summary of the family: Transfer RNA (tRNA) molecules are approximately 80 nucleotides in length. Their secondary structure includes four short double-helical elements and three loops (D, anti-codon, and T loops). Further hydrogen bonds mediate the characteristic L-shaped molecular structure. tRNAs have two regions of fundamental functional importance: the anti-codon, which is responsible for specific mRNA codon recognition, and the 3' end, to which the tRNAs corresponding amino acid is attached (by aminoacyl-tRNA synthetases). tRNAs cope with the degeneracy of the genetic code in two manners: having more than one tRNA (with a specific anti-codon) for a particular amino acid; and 'wobble' base-pairing, i.e. permitting non-standard base-pairing at the 3rd anti-codon position. Lineage: Bacteria; Candidatus Kueneniibacteriota. The record is from RNAcentral.
GCCGGAGUGGUGGAAUUGGUAGACACGCUAGCCCUAGGAGCUAGUCCCGCGUUCGCGGGAUGGGAGUUCGAGUCUCCCCUCCGGCA